This 439-nucleotide ribosomal RNA is filed under the name uncultured bacterium. Its description in RNAcentral is "bacterial SSU rRNA". It matches the Rfam family "Bacterial small subunit ribosomal RNA", at positions 339 to 794 of the family's 1533-position model. The record is from RNAcentral.
CUACGGGAGGCAGCAGUGGGGAAUAUUGCACAAUGGGCGAAAGCCUGAUGCAGCAACGCCGCGUGCACGAUGAAGGCCUUCGGGUCGUAAAGUGCUUUUCGGGGAGAUGAGGAAGGACAGUAUCCCCGGAAUAAGUCUCGGCUAACUACGUGCCAGCAGCCGCGGUAAAACGUAGGAGGCAAGCGUUAUCCGAAUUUACUGGGCGUAAAGCGUGUGCAGGCGGUCGGGUAAGUUGGAUGUGAAAUCUCCUGGCUCAACUGGGAGAGGUCGUUCAAAACUACCUGACUAGAGGGCGAUAGAGGGAGGUGGAAUUCCCGGUGUAGUGGUGAAAUGCGUAGAUAUCGGGAGGAACACCAGUGGCGAAAGCGGCCUCCUGGAUCGUACCUGACGCUCAGACACGAAAGCUAGGGGAGCGAACGGGAUUAGAUACCCCGGUAGC